RNAcentral lists this ribosomal RNA (253 nucleotides) under uncultured bacterium. RNAcentral's name for it is "partial 16S ribosomal RNA". It matches the Rfam family "Bacterial small subunit ribosomal RNA", at positions 524 to 776 of the family's 1533-position model. The record is from RNAcentral.
UACAGAGGGGGCGAGCGUUGUUCGGAAUUACUGGGCGUAAAGGGCGCGUAGGCGGCCUGCUAAGUCGAACGUGAAAUCCCUGGGCUCAACCCAGGAACUGCGUCCGAUACUGGUUGGCUUGAAUCCGGGAGAGGGAUGUGGAAUUCCAGGUGUAGCGGUGAAAUGCGUAGAUAUCAAGAGGAACACCUGAGGUGAAGACGGGUUGCUGGGCCAACACUGACGCUGAGGCGCGAAAGCCAGGGGAGCAAACGGG